CAGAAAAUAGUUUAUAAAACAUUAACUUUGGAAGUUAAAGAUCGGGAUUAAUCCUGUUUUCUGA
RNAcentral lists this transfer RNA (64 nucleotides) under Glycera dibranchiata. RNAcentral's name for it is "tRNA-Pro". It matches the Rfam family "tRNA". From Rfam's summary of the family: Transfer RNA (tRNA) molecules are approximately 80 nucleotides in length. Their secondary structure includes four short double-helical elements and three loops (D, anti-codon, and T loops). Further hydrogen bonds mediate the characteristic L-shaped molecular structure. tRNAs have two regions of fundamental functional importance: the anti-codon, which is responsible for specific mRNA codon recognition, and the 3' end, to which the tRNAs corresponding amino acid is attached (by aminoacyl-tRNA synthetases). tRNAs cope with the degeneracy of the genetic code in two manners: having more than one tRNA (with a specific anti-codon) for a particular amino acid; and 'wobble' base-pairing, i.e. permitting non-standard base-pairing at the 3rd anti-codon position. Lineage: Eukaryota; Metazoa; Annelida; Polychaeta; Phyllodocida; Glyceridae. The record is from RNAcentral.